This 1964-nucleotide ribosomal RNA is filed under the name Staphylococcus aureus. RNAcentral describes it as "partial 23S ribosomal RNA". It matches the Rfam family "Bacterial large subunit ribosomal RNA", at positions 232 to 2196 of the family's 2925-position model. Lineage: Bacteria; Bacillati; Bacillota; Bacilli; Caryophanales; Staphylococcaceae. The record is from RNAcentral.
CGAUUCCCUUAGUAGCGGCGAGCGAAACGGGAAGAGCCCAAACCAACAAGCUUGCUUGUUGGGGUUGUAGGACACUCUAUACGGAGUUACAAAGGACGACAUUAGACGAAUCAUCUGGAAAGAUGAAUCAAAGAAGGUAAUAAUCCUGUAGUCGAAAAUGUUGUCUCUCUUGAGUGGAUCCUGAGUACGACGGAGCACGUGAAAUUCCGUCGGAAUCUGGGAGGACCAUCUCCUAAGGCUAAAUACUCUCUAGUGACCGAUAGUGAACCAGUACCGUGAGGGAAAGGUGAAAAGCACCCCGGAAGGGGAGUGAAAUAGAACCUGAAACCGUGUGCUUACAAGUAGUCAGAGCCCGUUAAUGGGUGAUGGCGUGCCUUUUGUAGAAUGAACCGGCGAGUUACGAUUUGAUGCAAGGUUAAGCAGUAAAUGUGGAGCCGUAGCGAAAGCGAGUCUGAAUAGGGCGUUUAGUAUUUGGUCGUAGACCCGAAACCAGGUGAUCUACCCUUGGUCAGGUUGAAGUUCAGGUAACACUGAAUGGAGGACCGAACCGACUUACGUUGAAAAGUGAGCGGAUGAACUGAGGGUAGCGGAGAAAUUCCAAUCGAACCUGGAGAUAGCUGGUUCUCUCCGAAAUAGCUUUAGGGCUAGCCUCAAGUGAUGAUUAUUGGAGGUAGAGCACUGUUUGGACGAGGGGCCCCUCUCGGGUUACCGAAUUCAGACAAACUCCGAAUGCCAAUUAAUUUAACUUGGGAGUCAGAACAUGGGUGAUAAGGUCCGUGUUCGAAAGGGAAACAGCCCAGACCACCAGCUAAGGUCCCAAAAUAUAUGUUAAGUGGAAAAGGAUGUGGCGUUGCCCAGACAACUAGGAUGUUGGCUUAGAAGCAGCCAUCAUUUAAAGAGUGCGUAAUAGCUCACUAGUCGAGUGACACUGCGCCGAAAAUGUACCGGGGCUAAACAUAUUACCGAAGCUGUGGAUUGUCCUUUGGACAAUGGUAGGAGAGCGUUCUAAGGGCGUUGAAGCAUGAUCGUAAGGACAUGUGGAGCGCUUAGAAGUGAGAAUGCCGGUGUGAGUAGCGAAAGACGGGUGAGAAUCCCGUCCACCGAUUGACUAAGGUUUCCAGAGGAAGGCUCGUCCGCUCUGGGUUAGUCGGGUCCUAAGCUGAGGCCGACAGGCGUAGGCGAUGGAUAACAGGUUGAUAUUCCUGUACCACCUAUAAUCGUUUUAAUCGAUGGGGGGACGCAGUAGGAUAGGCGAAGCGUGCGAUUGGAUUGCACGUCUAAGCAGUAAGGCUGAGUAUUAGGCAAAUCCGGUACUCGUUAAGGCUGAGCUGUGAUGGGGAGAAGACAUUGUGUCUUCGAGUCGUUGAUUUCACACUGCCGAGAAAAGCCUCUAGAUAGAAAAUAGGUGCCCGUACCGCAAACCGACACAGGUAGUCAAGAUGAGAAUUCUAAGGUGAGCGAGCGAACUCUCGUUAAGGAACUCGGCAAAAUGACCCCGUAACUUCGGGAGAAGGGGUGCUCUUUAGGGUUAACGCCCAGAAGAGCCGCAGUGAAUAGGCCCAAGCGACUGUUUAUCAAAAACACAGGUCUCUGCUAAACCGUAAGGUGAUGUAUAGGGGCUGACGCCUGCCCGGUGCUGGAAGGUUAAGAGGAGUGGUUAGCUUCUGCGAAGCUACGAAUCGAAGCCCCAGUAAACGGCGGCCGUAACUAUAACGGUCCUAAGGUAGCGAAAUUCCUUGUCGGGUAAGUUCCGACCCGCACGAAAGGCGUAACGAUUUGGGCACUGUCUCAACGAGAGACUCGGUGAAAUCAUAGUACCUGUGAAGAUGCAGGUUACCCGCGACAGGACGGAAAGACCCCGUGGAGCUUUACUGUAGCCUGAUAUUGAAAUUCGGCACAGCUUGUACAGGAUAGGUAGGAGCCUUUGAAACGUGAGCGCUAGCUUACGUGGAGGCGCUGGUGGG